RNAcentral lists this long non-coding RNA (609 nucleotides) under Homo sapiens (human). RNAcentral's name for it is "HSALNT0396493". Lineage: Eukaryota; Metazoa; Chordata; Mammalia; Primates; Hominidae. The record is from RNAcentral.
GUGUCAGCUUCAGGCGUGGCUGGAUCAAGGACCAAAUGUCAGCUUCAGGGAUCUGAUGUUCUUUAUUUCACCGCUAGGAGGAAAGGGCUUCUGGUGUUUGUGCCCCGGUUUUGCCAUUUGUCUUUCUGUGGAUGAGUGUGUCUGCCUGAGUGUAGACAUAUAUUGGGUAUGACUGAGUGUCUGAGCAUCUUUAUGGGGGUGGGUUCCUGUGUGUGGGGCCUGAGUAAUUACCUUUUCGUUUUUACAUUUUAUUAUGUAUUUGUGUAUUAAUUUUUUUUUUUCUUGAGACGGAGUUUCGCUCUUGUUGCCCAGGCUGGAGUGAAAUGGUGUGAUCUUGGCUCACCGCAACUUCCGCCUCUUGGGUUCAAGUGAGUCUCCUGCCUCAGCCUCCCGAGUAGCUGGGAUUACAGGCAUGCACCACCACGACUGGCUAAUUUUGCAUUUUUAGUAGAGAUGAGGUUUCUCCAUGUUGAUCAGGUUGGUCUUGAACUCCCGACUUGAGGUGAUCCGCCCACGUCGGCCUCCCAGAGUGCUGAGAUUACAGGCGUGAGCCACCGGGCCUGGUUUAUAUUUUAUUUUUUUAACUUUCGGCUGGCAAGUGCUGAAUCC